RNAcentral lists this non-coding RNA (185 nucleotides) under Aciduricibacillus chroicocephali. Its description in RNAcentral is "Bacillaceae bacterium 44XB 6S RNA". It matches the Rfam family "6S / SsrS RNA". From Rfam's summary of the family: E. coli 6S RNA was the first non coding RNA to be sequenced, but its function was unknown until recently. The record is from RNAcentral. Lineage: Bacteria; Bacillati; Bacillota; Bacilli; Caryophanales; Bacillaceae.
ACAAUCCUGAUGUGUACGUCCUUUAUUUAGUUUUGACCGAACACUUUUUGAUACGGGAGCCCGACGGAGUCUUCGCGCUGCGAACAUGCCUCGCAAGUUUUGAGGAAGUUCAGAGAGCGUGAAGCUGGGCACCCACCUGCUGCGUGCGGGAUCAAAACCAACAGGACGGCACGAUCGGGAUUGUU